UGGGGAAUAUUGCACAAUGGGCGCAAGCCUGAUGCAGCCAUGCCGCGUGUAUGAAGAAGGCCUUCGGGUUGUAAAGUACUUUCAGCGGGGAGGAAGGGAGUAAAGUUAAUACCUUUGCUCAUUGACGUUACCCGCAGAAGAAGCACCGGCUAACUCCGUGCCAGCAGCCGCGGUAAUACGGAGGGUGCAAGCGUUAAUCGGAAUUACUGGGCGUAAAGCGCACGCAGGCGGUUUGUUAAGUCAGAUGUGAAAUCCCCGGGCUCAACCUGGGAACUGCAUCUGGUACUGGCAAGCUUGAGUCUCGUAGAGGGGGGUAGAAUUCCAGGUGUAGCGGUGAAAUGCGUAGAGAUCUGGAGGAAUACCGGUGGCGAAAGCAGCCCCCUGGACAAAGACUGACGCUCAGGUGCGAAAGCGUGGGGAGCAAACAGG
This 429-nucleotide ribosomal RNA is filed under the name Chloroflexota bacterium. RNAcentral's name for it is "Chloroflexi bacterium partial 16S ribosomal RNA". It matches the Rfam family "Bacterial small subunit ribosomal RNA", at positions 355 to 776 of the family's 1533-position model. Lineage: Bacteria; Bacillati; Chloroflexota. The record is from RNAcentral.